RNAcentral lists this ribosomal RNA (497 nucleotides) under uncultured bacterium. RNAcentral describes it as "partial 16S ribosomal RNA". It matches the Rfam family "Bacterial small subunit ribosomal RNA", at positions 28 to 507 of the family's 1533-position model. The record is from RNAcentral.
GACGAACGCUGGCGGCGUGCCUAAUACAUGCAAGUAGAACGCUGAAGAGAGGAGCUUGCUCUUCUUGGAUGAGUUGCGAACGGGUGAGUAACGCGUAGGUAACCUGCCUUGUAGCGGGGGAUAACUAUUGGAAACGAUAGCUAAUACCGCAUAACAAUGGAUGACACAUGUCAUUUAUUUGAAAGGGGCAAUUGCUCCACUACAAGAUGGACCUGCGUUGUAUUAGCUAGUAGGUGAGGUAAUGGCUCACCUAGGCGACGAUACAUAGCCGACCUGAGAGGGUGAUCGGCCACACUGGGACUGAGACACGGCCCAGACUACUACGGGAGGCAGCAGUAGGGAAUCUUCGGCAAUGGGGACAACCCUGACCGAGCAACGCCGCGUGAGUGAAGAAGGUUUUCGGAUCGUAAAGCUCUGUUGUAAGUCAAGAACGGGUGUGAGAGUGGAAAGUUCACACUGUGACGGUAGCUUACCAGAAAGGGACGGCUAACUACGUG